RNAcentral lists this ribosomal RNA (492 nucleotides) under uncultured bacterium. RNAcentral describes it as "partial 16S ribosomal RNA". It matches the Rfam family "Bacterial small subunit ribosomal RNA", at positions 29 to 507 of the family's 1533-position model. The record is from RNAcentral.
AGUGAACGCUGGCGGUAGGCCUAACACAUGCAAGUCGAACGGCAGCACAGUAAGAGCUUGCUCUUACGGGUGGCGAGUGGCGGACGGGUGAGGAAUACAUCGGAAUCUACUUUUUCGUGGGGGAUAACGUAGGGAAACUUACGCUAAUACCGCAUACGACCUACGGGUGAAAGCAGGGGAUCUUCGGACCUUGCGCGUUUGAAUGAGCCGAUGUCGGAUUAGAUAGUUGGCGGGGUAAAGGCCCACCAAGGCGACGAUCCGUAGCUGGUCUGAGAGGAUGAUCAGCCACACGGGAACUGAGACACGGAACAGACUCCUACGGGAGGCAGCAGUGGGGAAUAUUGGACAAUGGGCGAAAGCCUGAUCCAGCCAUACCGCGUGGGUGAAGAAGGCCUUCGGGUUGUAAAGACCUUUUGUUGGGAAAGAAAAGCAGCAGGUUAAUACCCCGCUGUUCUGACGGUACCAAAAGAAUAAGCACCGGCUAACUUCGUG